Molecule: ribosomal RNA, 1553 nt
Filed under: Vibrio antiquarius
Lineage: Bacteria; Pseudomonadati; Pseudomonadota; Gammaproteobacteria; Vibrionales; Vibrionaceae
Description: Vibrio sp. Ex25 16S ribosomal RNA
Rfam family: Bacterial small subunit ribosomal RNA
Source: RNAcentral
AAAUUGAAGAGUUUGAUCAUGGCUCAGAUUGAACGCUGGCGGCAGGCCUAACACAUGCAAGUCGAGCGGAAACGAGUUAUCUGAACCUUCGGGGAACGAUAACGGCGUCGAGCGGCGGACGGGUGAGUAAUGCCUAGGAAAUUGCCCUGAUGUGGGGGAUAACCAUUGGAAACGAUGGCUAAUACCGCAUGAUGCCUACGGGCCAAAGAGGGGGACCUUCGGGCCUCUCGCGUCAGGAUAUGCCUAGGUGGGAUUAGCUAGUUGGUGAGGUAAGGGCUCACCAAGGCGACGAUCCCUAGCUGGUCUGAGAGGAUGAUCAGCCACACUGGAACUGAGACACGGUCCAGACUCCUACGGGAGGCAGCAGUGGGGAAUAUUGCACAAUGGGCGCAAGCCUGAUGCAGCCAUGCCGCGUGUGUGAAGAAGGCCUUCGGGUUGUAAAGCACUUUCAGUCGUGAGGAAGGUAGUGUGUUUAAUAGAUGCAUUAUUUGACGUUAGCGACAGAAGAAGCACCGGCUAACUCCGUGCCAGCAGCCGCGGUAAUACGGAGGGUGCGAGCGUUAAUCGGAAUUACUGGGCGUAAAGCGCAUGCAGGUGGUUUGUUAAGUCAGAUGUGAAAGCCCGGGGCUCAACCUCGGAAUAGCAUUUGAAACUGGCAGACUAGAGUACUGUAGAGGGGGGUAGAAUUUCAGGUGUAGCGGUGAAAUGCGUAGAGAUCUGAAGGAAUACCGGUGGCGAAGGCGGCCCCCUGGACAGAUACUGACACUCAGAUGCGAAAGCGUGGGGAGCAAACAGGAUUAGAUACCCUGGUAGUCCACGCCGUAAACGAUGUCUACUUGGAGGUUGUGGCCUUGAGCCGUGGCUUUCGGAGCUAACGCGUUAAGUAGACCGCCUGGGGAGUACGGUCGCAAGAUUAAAACUCAAAUGAAUUGACGGGGGCCCGCACAAGCGGUGGAGCAUGUGGUUUAAUUCGAUGCAACGCGAAGAACCUUACCUACUCUUGACAUCCAGAGAACUUUCCAGAGAUGGAUUGGUGCCUUCGGGAACUCUGAGACAGGUGCUGCAUGGCUGUCGUCAGCUCGUGUUGUGAAAUGUUGGGUUAAGUCCCGCAACGAGCGCAACCCUUAUCCUUGUUUGCCAGCGAGUAAUGUCGGGAACUCCAGGGAGACUGCCGGUGAUAAACCGGAGGAAGGUGGGGACGACGUCAAGUCAUCAUGGCCCUUACGAGUAGGGCUACACACGUGCUACAAUGGCGCAUACAGAGGGCAGCCAACUUGCGAAAGUGAGCGAAUCCCAAAAAGUGCGUCGUAGUCCGGAUUGGAGUCUGCAACUCGACUCCAUGAAGUCGGAAUCGCUAGUAAUCGUGGAUCAGAAUGCCACGGUGAAUACGUUCCCGGGCCUUGUACACACCGCCCGUCACACCAUGGGAGUGGGCUGCAAAAGAAGUAGGUAGUUUAACCUUCGGGGGGACGCUUACCACUUUGUGGUUCAUGACUGGGGUGAAGUCGUAACAAGGUAGCGCUAGGGGAACCUGGCGCUGGAUCACCUCCUUA